GACGAACGCUGGCGGCGUGCCUAAUACAUGCAAGUCGAACGCUUCUUUCCUCCCGAGUGCUUGCACUCAAUUGGAAAGAGGAGUGGCGGACGGGUGAGUAACACGUGGGUAACCUACCCAUCAGAGGGGGAUAACACUUGGAAACAGGUGCUAAUACCGCAUAACAGUUUAUGCCGCAUGGCAUAAGAGUGAAAGGCGCUUUCGGGUGUCGCUGAUGGAUGGACCCGCGGUGCAUUAGCUAGUUGGUGAGGUAACGGCUCACCAAGGCCACGAUGCAUAGCCGACCUGAGAGGGUGAUCGGCCACACUGGGACUGAGACACGGCCCAGACUCCUACGGGAGGCAGCAGUAGGGAAUCUUCGGCAAUGACGAAAGUCUGACCGAGCAACGCCGCGUGAGUGAAGAAGGUUUUCGGAUCGUAAAACUCUGUUGUUAGAGAAGAACAAGGACGUUAGUAACUGAACGUCCCCUGACGGUAUCUAACCAGAAAGCCACGGCUAACUACGUG
RNAcentral lists this ribosomal RNA (507 nucleotides) under uncultured bacterium. RNAcentral describes it as "partial 16S ribosomal RNA". It matches the Rfam family "Bacterial small subunit ribosomal RNA", at positions 28 to 507 of the family's 1533-position model. The record is from RNAcentral.